RNAcentral lists this ribosomal RNA (546 nucleotides) under Triticum aestivum (bread wheat). Its description in RNAcentral is "partial small subunit ribosomal RNA". The record is from RNAcentral. Lineage: Eukaryota; Viridiplantae; Streptophyta; Magnoliopsida; Poales; Poaceae.
AUGAGUUUCUACAGCCUCCAUGAGUCCCUCCAUAAGGAGAUCGCCAAAAUUCAGUCCCGAUUCUACUGGGCUGGCAAGCAUGGCAAGCAGAAGUAUCACAUGGUCAGCUGGCCUGACAUUUGCAAGCCCAGGGAGCAGGGUGGCCUGGGCAUCAUGUGCUCUAAAAGGAUGAAUAUUGCCCUUCUCUCCCGUUGGCUUUGGCGCAUCGCGCAGGGUCAAGGUGGCCUCUGGCUCGACAUUAUCCGGAAUAAAUACCUGCGGGGUCAACCCCUUGCCUUCUGCCAGAAAUCGGGCGGUUCUCAGUUCUGGCAGUCUAUUGUCCAGCUUCUCCCGGUGCUUCGCAUUGGAACCUCCAUUUCGGUGGGGUCCGACCUCUCGACGCUCUUCUGGUUUGAUCGCUGGGCCGGAGACUCUCCCUUUGCGGCCCGCUUCCCCACCCUCUUCUCUAUCUCCGUCGACCCCAUGAUUUCUGUCGAUAGGGCCCUUCUUGACUUAGGGCGCCUUGCUUUCCGUCGGCCCUUUGGACCGGCGGAAUCCGCCGCCUGA